GAUGAACGCUGGCGGCGUGCCUAAUACAUGCAAGUCGAGCGAACAGAUGAGGAGCUUGCUCCGCUGACGUUAGCGGCGGACGGGUGAGUAACACGUGUAUAACCUACCUAUAAGACUGGGAUAACUUCGGGAAACCGGAGCUAAUACCGUAUAAUAUAUUGAACCGCAUGGUUGAAUAGUGAAAUACGGUUUUGCUGGCACUUAUAGAUGGAUCCGCGCCGCAUUAGCUAGUUGGUAAGGUAACGGCUUACCAAGGCAACGAUGCGUAGCCGACCUGAGAGGGUGAUCGGCCACACUGGAACUGAGACACGGUCCAGACUCCUACGGGAGGCAGCAGUAGGGAAUCUUCCGCAAUGGGCGAAAGCCUGACGGAGCAACGCCGCGUGAGUGAUGAAGGUCUUCGGAUCGUAAAACUCUGUUAUUAGGGAAGAACAAAUGUGUAAGUAACUAUGCACGUCUUGACGGUACCUAAUCAGAAAGCCACGGCUAACUACGUG
This 497-nucleotide ribosomal RNA is filed under the name uncultured bacterium. RNAcentral's name for it is "partial 16S ribosomal RNA". It matches the Rfam family "Bacterial small subunit ribosomal RNA", at positions 28 to 507 of the family's 1533-position model. The record is from RNAcentral.